RNAcentral lists this long non-coding RNA (743 nucleotides) under Felis catus (domestic cat). RNAcentral describes it as "lncRNA (ENSFCAG00000047873.1)". Lineage: Eukaryota; Metazoa; Chordata; Mammalia; Carnivora; Felidae. The record is from RNAcentral.
CUGUACCCACUGCCUUAGAGACUCCCCUGCCUGGGAAACCAAGACGACAUGCCCUCAGGGGCAGCGGUGACAAGAUUAUUUUGUCUGAGUGUUUGGGGAUCCCAAGAUGUGGGAGGUGGGAUAGGCAGGCAGAGGAUGGGAUUAAUUUGUGGCUGGGAUUGCUCAUAAUUACUACCUUCCCUGAUGUAUCCCCUUUCCCAAGUUUAGGCUGCUGGUGAGGGGAGAGACACCAGCAGGAGGGGAGUGGGUAAGAGGGUGGGACCAGCCAGCCCAUUCAGAGCUGCCUCCUCCCCCAGCUGGGUGGGGACUGGCCUGCCUCCCACCUCCUUCAGACAGAGCUUAGUCCUUCCUGCUUUGUUGGGCCCUGCCCCCUAUUCCUGGGCAGCCUUGCCUGGCAGUCUCCACUAUUCUCAUCCGCGGCAGCCCCCAACCUUGGCCAACACCCCAGGUGUGGGCUGUCCUCAUCAGGAGCUCCCCCACACCCCAAGUGCUCCCCCUUCAGCUGCUGCUUCUGCCCCAGACUCACAAUCAGUAAUGACAGGAUAAUUGUUUGUUUUAUUGAUCAUAACCAGCCUUCCGUGGCCCAGCGAUGGAUGAUGUGGGAAGAGCUACAUUUGCCCUGGCACAGGCACCCUAGCACCAGGAGAACCAGAUAUGGCCUCACCUGGAUGCAGACUUUCCCCAUCCUGCCACCUCAUCACUCACCUUGGACCCUGAAUCCCCAAGAGACUUCUAUUGGCUGA